UGGAUCUCUCUCUUUCUUCCCUCUAUUAUUUUUCAGAGAGAGAGAAUUGCGUUAUUUCCCAUGCUUGAUCAAUCUGGUGAGGUUUUCAUCCAGUAUAUCAGGUUUAGCGUCAACUCUCAACUGCUAACGGGGUUUGUCUAUAAAAGGAAGCCAACAAGCAAACUCUCACCAUAAAAAGUUGUCUAGUUAACAAAACCAAUACCACUCCUCCGUUUCUAUGUAUUGAUUGUAGACUUUGUAGUUACAGAAUCUUGUUUCGUAAUAUUUUAUUAAUACAAGUCAGUAACUAAAAUAUUAGUUUGCUC
Long non-coding RNA from Brassica oleracea var. oleracea, 305 nucleotides. RefSeq lists it as uncharacterized. NCBI's taxonomy places the organism in Eukaryota, Viridiplantae, Streptophyta, Magnoliopsida, Brassicales, Brassicaceae. The record is from RefSeq and is a predicted model, not a curated record. The transcript is spliced from 2 exons.